AGCGAACGCUGGCGGCAGGCCUAACACAUGCAAGUCGAACGAACCUUUCGGGGUUAGUGGCGGACGGGUGAGUAACACGUGGGAACGUGCCUCUAGGUUCGGAAUAACUCAGGGAAACUUGUGCUAAUACCGAAUGUGCCCUUCGGGGGAAAGAUUAAUCGCCUUUAGAGCGGCCCGCGUCUGAUUAGCUAGUUGGUUGAGGUAAUGGCUCACCAAGGCGACGAUCAGUAGCUGGUCUGAGAGGAUGAUCAGCCACAUUGGGACUGAGACACGGCCCAAACUCCUACGGGAGGCAGCAGUGGGGAAUCUUGCGCAAUGGGCGAAAGCCUGACGCAGCCAUGCCGCGUGAAUGAUGAAGGUCUUAGGAUUGUAAAAUUCUUUCACCGGGGACGAUAAUGACGGUACCCGGAGAAGAAGCCCCGGCUAACUUCGUG
RNAcentral lists this ribosomal RNA (434 nucleotides) under uncultured bacterium. RNAcentral describes it as "partial 16S ribosomal RNA". It matches the Rfam family "Bacterial small subunit ribosomal RNA", at positions 29 to 507 of the family's 1533-position model. The record is from RNAcentral.